GUAGUAAUCUUUGUGUGUCGGUGUUUGCGCUUGAGCUACUUUGAGAUAGUGAGCAUUCGCCGCCUAAUGAGAUUCUCUUAACCCUAUUUGUGGCUUUUUUAGGCUACGCAAAUCGGGG
Molecule: non-coding RNA, 118 nt
Filed under: Helicobacter hepaticus ATCC 51449
Lineage: Bacteria; Pseudomonadati; Campylobacterota; Epsilonproteobacteria; Campylobacterales; Helicobacteraceae
Description: purD.2008-01-16 RNA
Rfam family: purD RNA motif
Source: RNAcentral